Molecule: ribosomal RNA, 1335 nt
Filed under: metagenome
Description: bacterial LSU rRNA
Rfam family: Bacterial large subunit ribosomal RNA
Source: RNAcentral
UUACCGAACAAAAGUAGGGAAAUGUGUGAGCCAGCUGCCAAGAAAAGCCGCUAUUGUUUGUACUGUACCCGUACCGUAAACCGACACAGGUAGGUGAGGAGAGAAUCCUAAGGCCGACGGGAGAAGCAUUGUUAAGGAACUCGGCAAAAUGACUCCGUAACUUCGGGAGAAGGAGUGCCAGUGAGAGCUGGCCGCAGAGAAUUGGCCCAAGCAACUGUUUAGCAAAAACACAGGUCUAUGCAAAACCGUAAGGUGAAGUAUAUGGGCUGACGCCUGCCCGGUGCUGGAAGGUUAAGGGGAGAGGUUAGCGCAAGCGAAGCUUUGAACUUAAGCCCCAGUAAACGGCGGCCGUAACAAUAACGGUCCUAAGGUAGCGAAAUUCCUUGUCGGGUAAGUUCCGACCCACACGAAAGGCGUAAUGAUUUGGGCACUGUCUCAACAAUGCACCCGGUGAAAUUGAAAUACCAGUGAAGAUGCUGGUUACCUGCGCCAGGACGGAAAGACCCCAUGGAGCUUUACUCCAGCUUGAUACUGGGAUUCGAUAUUGUAUGUACAGGAUAGGUGGGAGGCGAAGAGGCAUUGACGCCAGUUGAUGCGGAGCCGCUGUUGGGAUACCACCCUUGCAGUAUUGGAUUUCUAACCAGCAGCCGUGACCCGGCUGGGGGACAAUGUCAGGUGGGGAGUUUGACUGGGGCGGUCGCCUCCGAAAGGGUAUCGGAGGCGCUCAAAGGUUCCCUCAGAAUGGUUGGAAACCAUUCGAAGAGUGCAAAGGCAGAAGGGAGCUUGACUGCGACACCGACGGGUGGAGCAGGUACGAAAGUAGGACUUAGUGAUCCGGUGGUAUAAAGUGGGAUUGCCAUCGCUCAACGGAUAAAAGCUACCCUGGGGAUAACAGGCUUAUCACUCCCAAGAGUUCACAUCGACGGAGUGGUUUGGCACCUCGAUGUCGGCUCAUCGCAUCCUGGGGCUGAAGUAGGUCCCAAGGGUUGGGCUGUUCGCCCAUUAAAGCGGUACGCGAGCUGGGUUCAGAACGUCGUGAGACAGUUCGGUCCCUAUCCGGCGUGGGCGUAGGAUAUUUGAGAGGAGCUGGCCUUAGUACGAGAGGACCGGGCUGGACUGACCGCUGGUGUAUCUGUUGUUCCGCCAGGAGCAUGGCAGAGUAGCCAAGUCAGGAAGGGAUAAACGCUGAAGGCAUCUAAGCGUGAAGCCCCCCUCAAGAUGAGAUAUCCCAACGCAAGUUGUAAGACCCCUUGAAGACGACAAGGUAGAUAGGGCAGAGGUGGAAGUGCAGUAAUGCAUGGAGCUGACUGUUACUAAUCGGUCGAGGGCAUAACC